GCACCCGCGGUAAUUCCAGCUCCAAUAGCGUAUAUUAAAGUUGUUGCAGUUAAAAAGCUCGUAGUUGAACUUCUGUACAGUCUCACUUCUGGCUUCGGUCAAGGUGUUGGCUGUGCAUCCGCUUGCAAAGCUGGUUCGGCCUUAACUGGUCGGCUAGUAGAGUAAGCCCUUUACUUUGAAAAAAUUAGAGUGUUUCAGGCAGGCAAUGGCUCGAAUACAUUAGCAUGGAAUAAUGGAAUAGGACUUUUGUCCAUUUGGUUGGUUCUUGGACUUAAGUAAUGAUUAAAAGGGACAGUUGGGGGCAUUGGUAUUUAACAGUCAGAGGUGAAAUUCUUGGAUUUGUUAAAGACUAACUUAUGCGAAAGCAUUUGCCAAGGAUGUUUUCAUCAAUCAAGAACGAAAGU
Molecule: ribosomal RNA, 404 nt
Filed under: uncultured eukaryote
Lineage: Eukaryota
Description: SSU rRNA
Rfam family: Eukaryotic small subunit ribosomal RNA
Source: RNAcentral